GAUGAACGCUGGCGGCGUGCUUAACACAUGCAAGUCGAACGAAGCACCUUGAUUUGAUUCUUCGGAUGAAGAUCUUGGUGACUGAGUGGCGGACGGGUGAGUAACGCGUGGGUAACCUGCCUCAUACAGGGGGAUAACAGUUAGAAAUGACUGCUAAUACCGCAUAAGACCACAGCACCGCAUGGUGCAGGGGUAAAAACUCCGGUGGUAUGAGAUGGACCCGCGUCUGAUUAGGUAGUUGGUGGGGUAACGGCCUACCAAGCCGACGAUCAGUAGCCGACCUGAGAGGGUGACCGGCCACAUUGGGACUGAGACACGGCCCAAACUCCUACGGGAGGCAGCAGUGGGGAAUAUUGCACAAUGGGGGAAACCCUGAUGCAGCGACGCCGCGUGAGCGAUGAAGUAUUUCGGUAUGUAAAGCUCUAUCAGCAGGGAAGAAAAUGACGGUACCUGA
Molecule: ribosomal RNA, 454 nt
Filed under: uncultured bacterium
Lineage: Bacteria
Description: bacterial SSU rRNA
Rfam family: Bacterial small subunit ribosomal RNA
Source: RNAcentral